CGAUGUGUUCCGAUGAGAUCCUUAGGUUGUCACGAGUGGGUAGGAUUUCGCGGAUCUCAAUUCGGACGUCGUUUGACUAUCGAACGGAUAAUCGCAUAGUGUGCGUUAUCCGGGUUUGAUAGGUUGGGACCGUUGGAUGGUCCCAAAUUUAAUAUAUGUUAAUCUAGGUAUUUCUAGGAUCGUGUAGGAAUUCACGGAUCGUGAAUCGGAGCCCCGGAUGUUCCGAAUAAUAAUUUAAAGUUUAUAUUUUAUAUUAACCGUCAGAUCAUGCGAUCGUG
RNAcentral lists this long non-coding RNA (278 nucleotides) under Prunus persica (peach). RNAcentral's name for it is "long non-coding RNA (PPER_LNC006518)". Lineage: Eukaryota; Viridiplantae; Streptophyta; Magnoliopsida; Rosales; Rosaceae. The record is from RNAcentral.